Molecule: RNA transcript, 4158 nt
Organism: Cyclopterus lumpus (lumpfish)
Lineage: Eukaryota; Metazoa; Chordata; Actinopteri; Perciformes; Cyclopteridae
Gene: gdpd5b
Gene name: glycerophosphodiester phosphodiesterase domain containing 5b
Exons: 17
Source: RefSeq, a predicted model, not a curated record
AGUCAACGACGGACCUCGAUAAUGAUAGCUUUAGUGGUCUAUUUCGGCGUGGAUUUUCUCUUUCUCACAAGAUGUUAGCACUGACAGUAAAUUAACACAAUUACAUUGUUCUUACAAGACCUCGUGAACGCUAUUUAAUUAAUCUCAACGUUGGUAAUUGCAAUAAGUUAAAAGGACGCGGACCGCUUUAAGGCGUCGCAACGGGUCAGUAAAUCGGGCCAACGGUUACUUUCAGUGUGCCCUGAAAGUCAGCUUGGUGACGCUCUCCCACUGUGCUGGAGUGCUGGAGAUAAAAACACAGACACACACACACACUCCUCCCACCAUUCAGCACGUUGAAUUACCCUGCCGGUGAGUGUGUGUGUGUGCGUGUGCGUGUGUCGGUGCUCACACAGAGACGAGGAGGCACGCUUUAACUACAGAGAGAGGACCGAACAACACACGGGACGGAGUAACCGAGAAUAUGAAACGGGACUUCUUUUAGCGAACGUUUGACCGAAGCCUCCGCCGCCCUCCGCACACACAACCGGCUUUCUUUCUCCUCCUUUUUGUUUUCGGUGUAAAAACUUCGGCGCUGUCAGCAUUCAGCAUUCGCCGACCACCCACCUCUUCUCGCACGUUACUUUCGACACCGGGAGUUGUCCCCGUUUGACUCCCGGGGCAGGAGGAGGCUCAUCACCGGGGCAGGAAGGGAGAGAAAAGCCUCCCCCCCCCCCACUUCACCGUGUGCCGUGUAGCUAACUGAAAUCAAAGGAAAGUGAUACGGUUAGCAGCCCAGCAGGCAGGAUUUUUUGUUGUCGUCAGUGGGAUGUUAGAGCUCUGGAAGCAGGACUGACUGAAGGAGCAUGGUGAAACACCAACCCCUCCAGGUCUAUGAGCGCCAGCUGUGUUUGUCAUGUAUCACUGGGCUCUACGGUUGCCGCUGGAAACGCUAUCAACGUUCCCAUGAUGACACCACCAAGUGGGAGCUGCUGUGGUCCAUCAUCCUCCUCUUUACCUUCUGCCUGCUGCUGGUCUGGUUCUACUUCUGGUGGGAGGCGCACAACGACUACAAUGAGUUCAACUGGUUCCUCUACAACUGCUCCGGGGAGUGGAGCGAUGGCACGGUUCCCAUCCUGGCCACCACCGCUGCUGGCUUCACCUACAUUGCAUUUUUAAUGGUUCUUGCACUUUGUCAUGUUGCACUUGGGCAACAGUUGAAUUUGCACUGGCUCCAUAAGAUUGGAGUGACUGCUGCGCUGCUCACCACCACGGUCGGGGUGAUAUCUGUCAAUCAAACAUGGGGACAAGAGUGGGACGUCAUCCCCAUCUCACUGCAGGCCACAGGUCCCUUCCUGCAUAUAGGGGCUCUUGCUGCGGUCACAGCUCUGUCUUGGAUUGUGGCUGGACAGGUCGCCCGAGCAGAGAAAACAAUGUUCCAGGUGGUGGUCGUGCUGCUGUAUCUCAGCGUGUUACUGGGACUCUACUUGGUGCCCCUGUACAUCACCUCCCCCUGCAUCAUGGACCCAACCACCCUCAAACAGCGGCCUGACGUCAUUGGCCACCAGGGAGCCCCCAUGCUUGCUCCAGAGAACACACUGUGGUCCUUCCAGAGAGCUCUGCAGAUGAACGUCACUGGAUUCGAGGCUGACGUUGCUAUCAGUGUGGAUGGAGUGCCUUUCCUGAUGCACGACCACACCCUGCGGAGGACCACAGACAUAGAGAAGGUUUUCCCGGACAGGCAAAUGCAAGACGCCUCAUUCUUUAACUGGACAGAUCUGCAGCAGCUCAACGCGGGACAGUGGUUCCUCAAGGAGGACCCUUUCUGGACGGUGCACACCCUGUCACCGCGGGAGAAGCAUCUGAUUGCCAACCAGAGUGUGUGCAGCCUGGAGCAGCUUCUAAAGCUGGCUUCCUAUCAUAACAGCACAGUGGUUUUCCGGCUGAGGAGACCUCCUCCAACGCACCCCUGCCACCACAGCUGGAUCAAUGACACACUGCAGGCUGUGCAGCAAUCUGGGGUUCCUCAGAACCUGGUGAUGUGGACUCCAGAUGAACACAGAGCUCAGGUGAGACAGCUGGCUCCCGGUCUGAUCCAGACCUCCGUGGAGAAACAGAGUCCUCAAAGUCUCCAACAGUACGGCAUCAGCAGGCUGCUGCUCAGAUACAACCAGGCCAGCACAGAGGAGAUCAGAAACUUCUCCCAGAGCAACAUCAACCUCACUCUCUACACCAUCAACGAGCCCUGGCUGUACUCGGUGCUCUGGUGCAGCGGGGUGUCUUCAGUCUCCUCCGAGGCCUCGCAUAUCCUCAAAAAGGUGCCUUACCCCAUCUGGCUCAUGAGACCAGAUGAAUACUGCCUGAUGUGGGUGUCUGUGGACCUCAUCUCCUUUGCUGUAGUCGUAGGAAUAUUCAUUUUCCAGAAGUAUCGGAUGAGCGGCAUGCGGAGCUACAACCCCGAGCAGAUCAUGCUGAGCGCCGCGGUCAGGAGGUCCAGCAGAGACCUCAACGUCAUGAAGGAGAAACUUAUCUUCUCUGGUCAAGCCCAGUAGCGGCCUGUGUGAUGUGCACCACCUCCUGUCCAUGCUACCACCUCCUCCUCCAGCAGUGACCUCUUCCUUUUUAUUGCAUCCAUUGCAUCCCUCGUUGCCUGCCACUUCUCUGCCCUUCUCCCCUUCAUCCACCCCUUCAUGCACCAAACCUCCCCCACUGCCCUCCCACUGGAGACCACGUCAUGCGUAGGGGGGAGCUUAUAGACGCCCCAGUCUGUCUAGAGAGCCUCGAGUGCUGGGGGUCAAAGAGGUGGGGAAUGGAGUCGGCGGUGCUGAUGAGCUGUUUCCGGACGAGGGCUACGACUACUACACCAAUCAGGGCAUCAGCCAGUGAUUGUGCCCGUGUGACUCUGCUGUGGUGAGGCGCCGGCGGCAGCGCUCCCUCCCGGUGUUUACAUCCUUCCUGAACUCCUCGUCCUGUCCUACUGAUGAACUGACAGACUGCUGUAUCUGAUGGAGAAGACCACCACCCGGUUGCUUUGUGUACAUUCUGUAAAUAGUUUUGUGUCUUGCUUGUCAGACAUACUGUAUAUCACACGGGACUACACGCACUUUUUAUUAAUGGAAUUCGCCAAAUCUGUGGCCUCCUCUCCCGCAUCUAAAUGUCCGAGAGGCCCCCUCCUGAGUUACCAACGCCAGCUUCUUUUUUUUAAAUUUUUUUUUUUAAAGAUGCGUUUCCAGAUUCUUUUUGUUUUUUAAGCUAAUUUUCCCAAAGCGGUUUCUUGUUUUUAAACCACUGUACACAAUAUUCUUCUCUCUGCAGAUGGAUUUCUUUAUAAAAACAGGGCUUUUCACGAGGCUUAAUCCACAGCAUGAGACUAAAAAGCUAACGGCUCGUUAUGCUCUCGCCUUCCUUCAGCACGCCGCCGUGCCGCGUUUCACAGAAGUACUAACGUUGAUAUUUAUAUUUAAAGAUGAAAAAGAAGAAAACAUGAACAAGCUGUUUACAGAAGUCCUGCCUUCUCCUGUAUGUAAGAUAAUCAUUUUGAUAGAGGCUGAAAGCCCCCCCACACCUGCCCUACUUUUGACCAGUGCAUGUAACUGUAAUGAUGAACUGACGCAUGUGAGCUGUGCUCCCAGUACAACUGGUAAAUGGUUUGAGGGGGUGAAGAUGUGUGCCGUCUUUGUGGUUAACGUGAAUGUGUUUUGGAUUCGUUUUUUAAAGAUGUGAACGGUGCGUGUGUGUGUUCUAGCUGGGUAUAUUUUUUUUUUACCCUGUGUGCAGUGCUAUGUUGAGUGUAUUAUUGUACAUAAAAGGAGUGUGUGUGUGUGUGCGUGCGUGUUGCUCCAGCCAACUAAGCAUUACAUUUGAACAAUGUGACAGUGAUGAAUAAUAAUUAGCAAUAUCCUGGUCAAGGUGGGAGUCACUACACUUCCUCCACAGCCUCUGAACUGCAGCCUGUGGUGUUCUGUUGUUGGCGGACUGCAUCGUGAUGUUGGUUGCUGGUGUUAAACCGACUGCUGUAGGUAAAUGAAGUGGGUGCUAAAUGUGAACAUGAAGCUGCAAGCGCCAAGUAUCGCAACAGGCAGCACAGGGUCAAGAAAUGAACUGCUUUGUGUUUAUUUUCUUUAUUUGGGUGUUAUUGUGCCUCCAGAAGUAAAAAAAUAAAAUAAAUCUUCACAUGAG